Molecule: ribosomal RNA, 484 nt
Filed under: uncultured bacterium
Lineage: Bacteria
Description: partial 16S ribosomal RNA
Rfam family: Bacterial small subunit ribosomal RNA
Source: RNAcentral
AUUGAACGCUGGCGGCAGGCCUAACACAUGCAAGUCGAGCGGAUGAAGGGAGUUUGCUCUUGGGUUCAGCGGCGGACGGGUGAGUAAUGCCUAGGAAUCUGCCCGGUAGUGGGGGAUAACGUCCGGAAACGGGCGCUAAUACCGCAUACGUCCUGAGGGAGAAAGCGGGGGAUCUUCGGACCUCACGCUAUUGGAUGAGCCUAGGUCGGAUUAGCUAGUUGGUGGGGUAAAGGCCUACCAAGGCGACGAUCCGUAACUGGUCUGAGAGGAUGAUCAGUCACACUGGAACUGAGACACGGUCCAGACUCCUACGGGAGGCAGCAGUGGGGAAUAUUGGACAAUGGGCGCAAGCCUGAUCCAGCCAUGCCGCGUGUGUGAAGAAGGUCUUCGGAUUGUAAAGCACUUUUAGUUGGGAAGAAAGGCAGUAAGUUAAUACCUUGCUGUUUUGACGUUACCAACAGAAUAAGCACCGGCUAACUUCGUG